This 404-nucleotide long non-coding RNA is filed under the name Pandoravirus neocaledonia. RNAcentral's name for it is "hypothetical ncRNA". The record is from RNAcentral.
AAAUAGGCACGAGAAGAAUGGUGGCAGCAGCAGAACUUUGCGUCGAGUUUUGGCCAAUGUUGCCUAAAGGCCAACCGGCCCUGGACCGUGGCCCGAUUGUUACCGCGCGUCAGUGGUAUCACCCCGUCACCGCCCCGUCGUCGGACCUGUCGUAGACAGCGACGCCUCUCACCGCGCGCCGGGCGGGCCAAACUAUUCUCCGUCCUCGACGCGGCUCUUUGCGUCGAGCCACAUGAGGCUGCUGCCCUCGUGCGCUUAUGGCGUGGCCCUGCACGUGGACUUGGACCCAUCCGCUGUCGGCCGCACGCUACCAUAACACCGGAACCUGUAAUCGGGGUUUCCCCCUCUUCCUUUCGCCUUAUCGCUUUGCGUGCGCUCCCGUGUGCCUUGUCUUUUUGUUGGAG